This 497-nucleotide ribosomal RNA is filed under the name uncultured bacterium. RNAcentral's name for it is "partial 16S ribosomal RNA". It matches the Rfam family "Bacterial small subunit ribosomal RNA", at positions 29 to 507 of the family's 1533-position model. The record is from RNAcentral.
AAUGAACGCUGGCGGUAUGCCUAACACAUGCAAGUCGAACGGACACACAAUAAGCUCUUGCUCUUACGGUUGGCGGCGGACGGGCGGGUGAGACGUAGAUCGCCUUCUUCUAUUUCGGGGAUGAUAUCGUGAAGCCAGAGACACUACUGGAUAAUAUGAUCUACGGCAGAAAGCAAUAGAUAAACACGGCUUUCCCGUCUCAAUUAGCUGGUUUCGGGCCGCCUUAGCUAGUUGGUAAGGUAACGGCCAACCAAGGCUACGAUGCGUGGCCGACCUGAGAGGGUGAUCGGCCACACUGGAACUGAGACACGGUCCAGACUCCUACGGGAGGCAGCAGUAGGGAAUCUUCGGCAAUGGGCGAAAGCCUGACGGAGCAACGCCGCGUGGGUGAAGAAGGUCUUCGGAUCGUAAAACUCUGUUAUUAGGGAAGAAAAAAUGUGUAAGUAACUAUGCACGUCUUGACGGUACCUAAUCAGAAAGCCACGGCUAACUACGUG